This 439-nucleotide ribosomal RNA is filed under the name uncultured bacterium. RNAcentral's name for it is "partial 16S ribosomal RNA". It matches the Rfam family "Bacterial small subunit ribosomal RNA", at positions 339 to 795 of the family's 1533-position model. The record is from RNAcentral.
CUACGGGGCGCAGCAGUGAGGAAUAUUGCACGAUGGGGGGAACCCUGAUGCAGCAACGCCGCGUGGAGGAUGACGCAUUUCGGUGUGUAAACUCCUUUUAUAUGUCAAGAAAAUGACGGUAGCAUAUGAAUAAGCACCGGCUAACUCCGUGCCAGCAGCCGCGGUAAUACGGAGGGGGCAAGCGUUACUCGGAAUCACUGGGCGUAAAGGACGCGUAGGCGGGUUGGAAAGUCAGGUGUGAAAUCCUACAGCUUAACUGUAGAACUGCACUUGAAACUUCUAAUCUAGAGUAUGGGAGGGGGGGAUGGAAUUAGUGGUGUAGGGGUGAAAUCCGUAGAUAUCACUAGGAAUACCUAAAGCGAAGGCGAUCUCCUGGAACAUUACUGACGCUAAGGCGUGAAAGCGUGGGGAGCAAACAGGAUUAGAUACCCCUGUAGUC